GAGCCUGAUGCAGCGACGCCGCGUGAGGGAUGACGGCCUUCGGGUUGUAAACCUCUUUCACCAGGGACGAAGCGCAAGUGACGGUACCUGGAGAAGAAGCACCGGCCAACUACGUGCCAGCAGCCGCGGUAAU
Molecule: ribosomal RNA, 133 nt
Filed under: uncultured Mycobacterium sp.
Lineage: Bacteria; Bacillati; Actinomycetota; Actinomycetes; Mycobacteriales; Mycobacteriaceae
Description: partial 16S ribosomal RNA
Rfam family: Bacterial small subunit ribosomal RNA
Source: RNAcentral